AGCUAUAGGUCCUCCGGGACCUGCCUGCCUGCUCUUGGUCCCCGCCCCAACCUGGAACCUUUCCCCGCCACACCCCUCCGUCCCAGUCCCAGGCCACCCGAGGGACCCAUGGCUGCGGCGGCAGCCCCGCGAGGAUGCCAGUGGGGAGAGCCUCGCGCGCUUGACCGGGCGGUGAAGUUGCUGCAGCGCCUGGAAGAGCAAUGCAGGGACCCCAGGCUGGCCAUGGGGCCCCCGUCGCUGCGGGACCUCCUGCCCCGCACCGCACAGCUGCUGGGAGAGGUGGCAAAGGCCCGGCGCGAGGCCAGCGGAGACCCCGAGGGUCCCGGUGGCGCCGGUGAUUUUCUGAUCAUCUACCUGACCAAUCUGGAGGCCAAAGGCAGGCAGGUGGCCGAGCUCCUGCCACCCCGGGGCAAAAAGGACGCGAACCAGGAUGUUUUCCGGGAGGGCUCCAGAUUCAGGCGACAACUGGCCAAGCUGGCCCUCAUCUUCAGUCACAUGCACGCGGAGCUGAGCGCUCUCUUCCCUGCGGGGAAGUACUGCGGACACCUGUACCAGCUCACCAAGGGCUCUGCGCACACCUUCUGGAGGGAGCACUGUGGCGUUCGGUGCGUGCUUCCCUGGGCUGAAUUCCAGUCCCUCCUGUGCGCCUGCCACCCCGUGGAGCCAGGUCCCACCAUGCAGGCCUUGCGGUCCACCUUGGACCUCACCUGUAGCGGCCACAUAUCGGUCUUCGAGUUUGACAUCUUCACCAGACUCUUCCAGCCAUGGCCCACCCUACUGAGGAACUGGCAACUCCUGGCUGUCAACCACCCUGGGUACAUGGCCUUCCUCACCUACGAUGAGGUCCAAACGCGCUUGCAGGCCUACAGGGACAAACCGGGCAGCUACAUCUUCCGGCCCAGCUGUACCCGCCUAGGGCAGUGGGCCAUCGGGUACGUGAGCUCCGACGGAAGCAUCCUACAGACCAUUCCUCUCAACAAACCUCUGCUGCAGGUGCUCCUCAAAGGACAGAAGGACGGCACCUUCCUCUUCCCUGAUGGAAAGAACCACAACCCAGACCUGACUGAGCUCUGCCGGGCAGAGCCUUACCAGCGCAUCCAGGUGUCAGAGGAGCAACUGCGACUCUACCAAGCCAUGAACUCCACGUUCCAGCUGUGCAAGAUCUGCGCCGAGAGGGACAAGGACGUGAGGAUUGAGCCCUGUGGGCAUCUUCUCUGCAGCUGCUGCCUGGCUGCCUGGCAGCACUCCGACAGCCAGACCUGUCCCUUCUGCCGUUGUGAGAUCAAAGGCCGAGAGGCCGUGAGUAUCUGUCCGGCACAAGAGAGGCCAAUGGAGGUCAGGACUGCUGCAGAUGACUCAAGAGACAACUGUCACCAGGAGGCCAAGUGGAAACUGGAGCCGGUGACUCCCUCUGCUCCCCCACUGCCCCCUGAAGAUCCGUUACCCCAGAGACCCCAAGACAAAGGCUGGCUGACAGUGGCACCGCUCGCCCUGCCCAGACUCCGCCCCCCACUUCCUCUCCCCAAAAUGGCAUCGGUUCAGUGGGAAGUCACCUCCAGGCCCCAGGCCAGGGAGGAGGCCACAGAAAGCUCCUGAGGUUCGGCGUCCCUCCCGCCAGCCCUGCAGGACCCCCAGUUGUGCCCAAGACCCAGAGGCCAGGGCAGGGCACCUGGACUGGAGCGAGGGAGCCUGGGGGCUGGAAGUGGGGGCAAAGCAGAAAUAAAUUGAAUCCUGAUCCUUCAA
Molecule: RNA transcript, 1743 nt
Organism: Apodemus sylvaticus (European woodmouse)
Lineage: Eukaryota; Metazoa; Chordata; Mammalia; Rodentia; Muridae
Gene: Cblc
Gene name: Cbl proto-oncogene C
Exons: 12
Source: RefSeq, a predicted model, not a curated record